This 465-nucleotide ribosomal RNA is filed under the name uncultured bacterium. Its description in RNAcentral is "bacterial SSU rRNA". It matches the Rfam family "Bacterial small subunit ribosomal RNA", at positions 331 to 793 of the family's 1533-position model. The record is from RNAcentral.
CCAGACUCCUACGGGAGGCAGCAGUGAGGAAUAUUGGUCAAUGGCCGAGAGGCUGAACCAGCCAAGUCGCGUGAGGGAAGAAUGUCCUAUGGAUUGUAAACCUCUUUUGUCAGGGAGCAAAGUCACCCACGUGUGGGUGUUGGAGAGUACCUGAAGAAAAAGCAUCGGCUAACUCCGUGCCAGCAGCCGCGGUAAUACGGAGGAUGCGAGCGUUAUCCGGAUUUAUUGGGUUUAAAGGGAGCGUAGGCCGGUCUUUAAGCGUACCGUGAAAUUUUGUGGCUCAACCAUGAGAGUGCGGCGCGAACUGGAGACCUUGAGUGCGCGGAAGGCAGGCGGAAUUCGUGGUGUAGCGGUGAAAUGCUUAGAUAUCACGCAGAACUCCGAUUGCGAAGGCAGCAUACCGGCGCGCAACUGACGCUCAUGCACGAAAGCGUGGGUAUCGAACAGGAUUAGAUACCCGUGUAG